AAAAAAGGUAAGCUACUAAGAGCGAAUGGUGGAUGCCUUGACUGGUAAAGGCGAUGAAGGACGUACUAGACUGCGAUAAGCUACGGGGAGCUGUCAAGAAGCUUUGAUCCGUAGAUUUCCGAAUGGGGCAACCCAAUGUAUAGAGAUAUACAUUACCUAUAUAGGAGCGAACGAGGGGAAUUGAAACAUCUUAGUACCCUCAGGAAAAGAAAUCAAUAGAGAUUGCGUCAGUAGCGGCGAGCGAAAGCGCAAGAGGGCAAACCCAGUGCUUGCACUGGGGGUUGUAGGACUGCAAUGUGCAAGAGGUGAGUUUAGCAGAACAUUCUGGAAAGUAUAGCCAUAGAGGGUGAUAGUCCCGUAUGCGAAAAACAAACCUUAGCUAGCAGUAUCCUGAGUAGGGCGGGACACGAGAAAUCCUGUCUGAAGCUGGGUCGACCACGAUCCAACCCUAAAUACUAAUACCAGAUCGAUAGUGCACAAGUACCGUGAGGGAAAGGUGAAAAGAACUGAGGUGAUCAGAGUGAAAUAGAACCUGAAACCAUUUGCUUACAAUCAUUCAGAGCCCUAUGUAGCAAUACAGGGUGAUGGACUGCCUUUUGCAUAAUGAGCCUGCGAGUUGUGGUGUCUGGCAAGGUUAAGCAAACGCGAAGCCGUAGCGAAAGCGAGUCUGAAUAGGGCGCUUAGUCAGAUGCUGCAGACCCGAAACGAAGUGAUCUAUCCAUGAGCAAGUUGAAGCUAGUGUAAGAACUAGUGGAGGACUGAACCCAUAGGCGUUGAAAAGCCCCGGGAUGACUUGUGGAUAGGGGUGAAAGGCCAAUCAAACUUCGUGAUAGCUGGUUCUCUCCGAAAUAUAUUUAGGUAUAGCGUUGUGUCGUAAUAUAAGGGGGUAGAGCACUGAAUGGGCUAGGGCAUACACCAAUGUACCAAACCCUAUCAAACUCCGAAUACCUUAUAUGUAAUCACAGCAGUCAGGCGGCGAGUGAUAAAAUCCGUCGUCAAGAGGGAAACAACCCAGACUACCAGCUAAGGUCCCUAAAUCUUACUUAAGUGGAAAACGAUGUGAAGUUACUUAAACAACCAGGAGGUUGGCUUAGAAGCAGCCAUCCUUUAAAGAAAGCGUAAUAGCUCACUGGUCUAGUGAUUUUGCGCGGAAAAUAUAACGGGGCUAAAGUAAGUACCGAAGCUGUAGACUUGCGCACAACUUAGAUUAUUUAAGUUUAGAAUAUGAGAAACUAAGUUAUAUGUUUAGUUAUAUUUUUACUGAUUUUUAUAGAGUAAAGAUAGAAAUAAAACUUAGUAAAAUCAGUAAAAAUAUUCUUAGACUAAAGUUAAGUAGUUUAAGUUGUGUGCAAGUGGUAGGAGAGCGUUCUAUUUGCGUCGAAGGUAUACCGGUAAGGAGUGCUGGAGCGAAUAGAAGUGAGCAUGCAGGCAUGAGUAGCGAUAAUUAAUGUGAGAAUCAUUAACGCCGUAAACCCAAGGUUUCCUACGCGAUGCUCGUCAUCGUAGGGUUAGUCGGGUCCUAAGUCGAGUCCGAAAGGGGUAGACGAUGGCAAAUUGGUUAAUAUUCCAAUACCAACAUUAGUGUGCGAUGGAAGGACGCUUAGGGCUAAGGGGGCUAGCGGAUGGAAGUGCUAGUCUAAGGUCGUAGGAGGUUAUACAGGCAAAUCCGUAUAACAAUACUCCGAGAACUGAAAGGCUUUUUGAAGUCUUCGGAUGGAUAGAAGAACCCCUGAUGCCAUCGAGCCAAGAAAAGUUUCUAAGUUUAGCUAAUGUUGCCCGUACCGUAAACCGACACAGGUGGGUGGGAUGAGUAUUCUAAGGCGCGUGGAAGAACUCUCUUUAAGGAACUCUGCAAAAUAGCACCGUAUCUUCGGUAUAAGGUGUGGUUCGCUUCGUAUUAGGAUUUACUCCGAAAGCGAAGAAACUUACAACAAAGAGUCCCUCCCGACUGUUUACCAAAAACACAGCACUCUGCUAACUCGUAAGAGGAUGUAUAGGGUGUGACGCCUGCCCGGUGCUCGAAGGUUAAUUGAUGGGGUUAGCAUUAGCGAAGCUCUUGAUCGAAGCCCGAGUAAACGGCGGCCGUAACUAUAACGGUCCUAAGGUAGCGAAAUUCCUUGUCGGUUAAAUACCGACCUGCAUGAAUGGCGUAACGAGAUGGGAGCUGUCUCAAAGAGGGAUCCAGUGAAAUUGUAGUGGAGGUGAAAAUUCCUCCUACCCGCGGCAAGACGGAAAGACCCCGUGGACCUU
RNAcentral lists this ribosomal RNA (2250 nucleotides) under Campylobacter coli. RNAcentral describes it as "partial 23S ribosomal RNA". It matches the Rfam family "Bacterial large subunit ribosomal RNA", at positions 1 to 2101 of the family's 2925-position model. Lineage: Bacteria; Pseudomonadati; Campylobacterota; Epsilonproteobacteria; Campylobacterales; Campylobacteraceae. The record is from RNAcentral.